Molecule: long non-coding RNA, 1484 nt
Organism: Papaver somniferum (opium poppy)
Lineage: Eukaryota; Viridiplantae; Streptophyta; Magnoliopsida; Ranunculales; Papaveraceae
Exons: 4
Source: RefSeq, a predicted model, not a curated record
UCUUCAUUAUUCUUCUUCUCUUCUCUUCUACUCUCUUCUGCAUAUUUUCUUCUUCUUCUGCUCUUCUCUUUUACGAGGGAUUCGAGGGAUGUUCUGAGGAUUUGAUUAGGGUGAAUCAACUGAUGAAGGUAAAGAUACGAAUUAGAAGAUGUUGUUGAAGAAUACAAAAGUAAGCAGUUAGGUAUUGAGAAAGUAAGUCGGGGGGAAGUUAGGGUUUCUGAGUUUAAUAUUGAUUGAAGAUUCAUAAGGAAUUAAGUAUGUAAUUGAGUGAUUAUAAGAGGGGUUUCGGCUUAAUUGAAUAUGUAUAACUGUUUUGAUGAAGAAUCAGAGAAUUAGGGUUGUCCUGUUCUUCCCCAAAUUGAGGACUUAGGGUUUUGUUCUCGAACAUGUGAUUUGAGAUGGUUAAGAAAGAAUUAACAGAUGGGUUUUGAUGAACAUGAAGUGAAGAGGAAGAUUAUGAUGCCAACUUACAGACCUAGUUACUGAGAGGACUUCAAUUUCAGAAUUAAGGUAAUUGUCUUUUACUGUAAAGUUAGUAAGAUUAUUAUCUUGUUGUUGUGUUUCAAGUUGAUGUUGUUGUGGUCUUGAUUUUGAGUAUAUCACUGAAAUAGUAAUGAAUGAAUAUUAUUGAGUUUAUAAGUUUCUUAAUGAGUUAAGAAUUGAUAUGGAUAUGGUGGGUUGUGCUGGACCUGUUUUGUGGUUAGGUUGUGCAAGCACAUGGAGAAGGAUUUAAUGAUUCUUGAGUGAACUGAGUGCAGAUGAAAGAAUCAUAUGAGGUAUAUGAACUGUAGGUUGGUGGUGGUGAUUGUCUCAAUAUUAAAAUGGUUUUGUUAAAUUUGUUGUUUAGAUUUGAUUUGUAAUUGGUGGUUGAAUUAUACAAGUUAUAUCUGAAAUGGAUUGAUGUGUGUUGGGAUUGAAGAUUUGAAUGAGAUAGGCUAUGAUUCAGCUGAACUAGUGGAGUCAGUUGUUUUGGUUUUGAUUGUGAUGAUGGCGUUUAACUGAACAGUGGAGGGGAAUUGUUGGUUAUGUAAGAUGAUAUAGUAGGUGGUGGUCUGUACUGGUUUGAAUUUCAGUUACAAAUGCUAAGCAUGUUAAUGUUGCAGAUGGAGGUGACUGUACUGGUUAUGAGUUGUGGUGGUUCUGGUCUUGAAGUUAGAUGAAUAUCAGGUUCUGAGAUAGGUUAACGAUUUUGAGAAUGGUGGAGUUGUUUAUAGUCUGAGAUAAGACGAUUCAGAUGUCGCAACUACUGCAUUUGCAGAUUCUGAUGACGAACCAGUGGAUCGUAGAUCUCGAGGUAGGCGUGGCUUGUCAUCAAAAGAGUUUCAGAGACAGACCAGAGUUGCGCAACGAAAGCUCCGAGAAGUUGACUUCUUUAGUUGGUUAUAAUCUGUUGUAUAUUCUAUUUGUAAACCAAAUGACUAUUGUGUAUGUAUCAUUUGAGAGAAGAUCUUGUAUAUAUAUAUUUCUGAGUGGAGUUAGUUUUG